UAUUUAACAAUUAAACUCGAUCCCAUCUAGCUACCAUUUGGUCCUCGAAUAAGAACGAAACAUUGAAAAAAAGUCUGGAUAAAAGAAAAAAAUAGAGAAUGAAGAACAGUUGACGAAAAGAAAAGAAAAAAAGACUGGAAUCACAACUUGAACAUCGAAUGACUGGAACUUGAAAAAGGAGGACAAAAAGCUGUAUAGCCCUUUCAACGUAUCGUUCCACGAUUCCGUCGUCGAAAGCCUUUGCACGAUCGUUUUUCCCGCGUUUUUUUCCCGCUCUCUCAUUCCUUCUACUUUCUUCGACCCCGUAUUACUCUUGUUUCGAGCAUUAAUUUCUCUCUCGCUAGUUUCUACCUCUCGACUAACCUUUUUUUUCUGUCCAAUAGAUGCCAUUUAUCACGA
Apis dorsata (giant honeybee) is the source of this 399-nucleotide long non-coding RNA. RefSeq lists it as uncharacterized. The transcript has 2 exons. The record is from RefSeq and is a predicted model, not a curated record. Lineage: Eukaryota; Metazoa; Arthropoda; Insecta; Hymenoptera; Apidae.